AAGUCGUAACAAGGUUUCCGUAGGUGAACCUGCGGAAGGAUCAUUAUUGAAAUAAACCUGAUGGGCUGUUGCUGGUUCUCUAGGGAGCAUAGUGCACGCUUUGUCAUCUUUAUAUCUCCACCUGUGCACUCUUUGUAGACCUUUUCAGGUCUAUGUUGAUUCUUCAUUUACUCCAAUGUAUGUUAAUAAGAAUGUCGUGCAUAUAAAAUCUAUACAACUUUCAGCAACGGAUCUCUUGGCUCUC
RNAcentral lists this unclassified non-coding RNA (244 nucleotides) under Cortinarius sp. RNAcentral's name for it is "partial internal transcribed spacer region". The stretch from base 1 to 46 matches the Rfam family "Eukaryotic small subunit ribosomal RNA", at positions 1786 to 1831 of the family's 1831-position model. The record is from RNAcentral. Lineage: Eukaryota; Fungi; Basidiomycota; Agaricomycetes; Agaricales; Cortinariaceae.